This 252-nucleotide ribosomal RNA is filed under the name Catenula environmental sample. RNAcentral describes it as "partial large subunit ribosomal RNA". It matches the Rfam family "Eukaryotic large subunit ribosomal RNA", at positions 40 to 285 of the family's 3401-position model. The record is from RNAcentral. Lineage: Eukaryota; Metazoa; Platyhelminthes; Catenulidae.
AUAUUAAUAAGCGGAGGAAAAGAAACUAACAAGGAUUCCCUUAGUAACUGCGAGUGAAGAGGGAAGAGCCCAGCACCGAAUCCUUCAGCUUCGAGCUGACAGGAAGUGUGGUGUUUAGUGUGGUCGCUGGACGUUAGACCAUUGCCCAAGUCCCAUUGACUAGGGCUCGAUGACCCAAAGUGGGUGUCAGGCCUGUAGUGGUGGUGCUCUUGCGUCCAAUGAUUACACGAAGAGUCGGAUGUUUGUUCGCAG